Molecule: ribosomal RNA, 413 nt
Filed under: uncultured rumen archaeon
Lineage: Archaea
Description: bacterial SSU rRNA
Rfam family: Archaeal small subunit ribosomal RNA
Source: RNAcentral
CAGCAGCCGCGGUAAUACCUGCAGCCCAAGUGGUGGUCGAUUUUAUUGAGUCUAAAACGUUCGUAGCCGGUUUGGUAAAUCUUUGGGUAAAUCGGGAAGCUCAACUUUCCGACUUCCGAAGAGACUGUCAAACUUGGGACCGGGAGAGGCUAGAGGUACUUCUGGGGUAGGGGGUAAAAUCCUGCAAUCCUAGAGGGACCACCGGUGGCGAAGGCGUCUAGCUAGAACGGAUCCGACGGUGAGGGACGAAGCCCUGGGUCGCAAACGGGAUUAGAUACCCCGGUAGUCCAGGGUGUAAACGCUGCCGACUUGGUGUUGGAGGCCCUUCGGGGGCAUUCAGUGCCGGAGAGAAGUUGUUAAGUCGGCUACUUAGGGAGUACGUCCGCAAGGAUGAAACUUAAAGGAAUUGGCGG